This 117-nucleotide ribosomal RNA is filed under the name Periophthalmus magnuspinnatus. The record is from RNAcentral. Lineage: Eukaryota; Metazoa; Chordata; Actinopteri; Gobiiformes; Gobiidae.
GUAUAUGGUCAAACCUCCUUGUCAAGCCCUGAUUUUGUCUGUUCUCGGAAGAAAACCGGGUUGAGCCUGAUUAGUACUUGGAUAGGAGGCUGCUGGGAAUACUAGGUGCCACAAAAG